This 366-nucleotide ribosomal RNA is filed under the name uncultured bacterium. RNAcentral describes it as "bacterial SSU rRNA". It matches the Rfam family "Bacterial small subunit ribosomal RNA", at positions 59 to 449 of the family's 1533-position model. The record is from RNAcentral.
AAGUCGGACGGACACCUUCGGGUGUCAGUGGCGGACGGGUGAGUAACGCGUAGGAAUCUACCUCUGGGAGGGGGAUAACAGCUGGAAACGGCUGCUAAUACCCCAUACAGGCGCGAGCUGAAAGGAGCAAUCCGCCUAGGGAUGAGCCUGCGUCGGAUUAGCUAGUUGGUGGGGUAAUGGCCUACCAAGGCGACGAUCCGUAGCGGGUCUGAGAGGAUGGCCCGCCACACUGGGACUGAGACACGGCCCAGACUCCUACGGGAGGCAGCAGUGGGGAAUUUUCCGCAAUGGGCGAAAGCCUGACGGAGCAAUACCGCGUGAGGGAGGAAGGCCUUCGGGUUGUAAACCUCUUUUCUGGGGGACGAA